CCGGCGACCGGCGCACGGGUGAGUAACACGUAUGGAACCUGCCCGCAGCAGGGGGAUAAGCGGAAGAAAUUCCGUCUAAUACCGCGUAACAACGUUGGGAGGCAUCUCCCGAUGUUUAAAGAUUUAUCGGCUGCGGAUGGCCAUGCGGCGCAUUAGCUAGUCGGCGGGGUAACGGCCCACCGAGGCGACGAUGCGUAGGGGUUCUGAGAGGAAGGUCCCCCACACUGGUACUGAGACACGGACCAGACUCCUACGGGAGGCAGCAG
RNAcentral lists this ribosomal RNA (266 nucleotides) under uncultured bacterium. RNAcentral describes it as "partial 16S ribosomal RNA". It matches the Rfam family "Bacterial small subunit ribosomal RNA", at positions 88 to 354 of the family's 1533-position model. The record is from RNAcentral.